UAUACAGCGAAACUGCGAAUGGCUCAUUAUAUAAGUUAUCGUUUAUUUGAUAGUGCCUUACUACUUGGAUAACCGUGGUAAUUCUAGAGCUAAUACAUGCUAAAAACCCCGACUUCGGAAGGGGUGUAUUUAUUAGAUACAAAACCAAUGCCCUUCGGGGCUCUUUGGUGAUUCAUGAUAACUAUACGAAUCGCACGGCCUUGCGCCGGCGAUGGUUCAUUCAAAUUUCUUCCCUAUCAACUUUCGAUGUUUAGGUAUUGGCCAAACAUGGUUGCAACGGGUAACGGAGGGUUAGGGCUCGACCCCGGAGAAGGAGCCUGAGAAACGGCUACUACAUCCAAGGAAGGCAGCAGGCGCGCAAAUUACCCAAUCCCGACUCGGGGAGGUAGUGACAAUAAAUACUGAUACAGGGCCCUUUCGGGCCUUGUAAUUGGAAUGAGUACAAUUUAAAUCCCUUAACGAGGAACAAUUGGAGGGCAAGUCUGGUGCCAGCAGCCGCGGUAAUUCCAGCUCCAAUAGCGUAUAU
This 526-nucleotide ribosomal RNA is filed under the name uncultured eukaryote. RNAcentral describes it as "SSU rRNA". It matches the Rfam family "Eukaryotic small subunit ribosomal RNA", at positions 75 to 604 of the family's 1831-position model. The record is from RNAcentral.